GACGAACGCUGGCGGCGUGCUUAACACAUGCAAGUCGAACGGAAAGGCCCUGCUUUUGUGGGGUGCUCGAGUGGCGAACGGGUGAGUAACACGUGAGUACCCUGCCCUUGCCUUUGGGAUAACUUCAGGAAACUGGGGCUAAUACCGGAUAGGAGCUCCUGCUGCAUGGUGGGGGUUGGAAAGUUUCGGCGGUUGGGGGUGGACUCGCGGCUUAUCAGCUUGUUGGUGGGGUAGUGGCUUACCAAGGCUUUGAGGGGUAGCCGGCCUGAGAGGGUGACCGGCCAAAUUGGGACUGAGAUACGGCCCAGACUCCUACGGGAGGCAGCAGUGGAGAAUAUUGCACAAUGGGCGGAAGGCUGAUGCAGCAACGCCGCGUGCGGGAUGACGGCCUUCGGGUUGGAAAGCGCUGUCGCCUGUGACGAAGCGUGAGUGACGGUAAUGGGUAAAGAAGCACCGGCUAACUACGUG
RNAcentral lists this ribosomal RNA (468 nucleotides) under uncultured bacterium. Its description in RNAcentral is "partial 16S ribosomal RNA". It matches the Rfam family "Bacterial small subunit ribosomal RNA", at positions 28 to 507 of the family's 1533-position model. The record is from RNAcentral.